UCCAGACCUUGGGAUAGAGAAAAGACAGACUCAAAUUUUCCCCAAAUAAAAACACGGAAUAAUAAAAGUUUACUGGCAUUUAUUAAUGCAUACGAUGAGGUAAGCUAGAGGCAGGAGAGGUUUUAUGUCCCUAAAAGAUUAAUCUUUAGAAGGUCUGUGACAUAAUCAAACGGAGUUUCUUGCUGAAGGUGCUCUUGUAGGCAAGAAUGGAGAGUGAUUUCAUAAAUCUCAUCACGCGGUGUGUUUCCACCCCUUCUUAUAAUGUUUUUUGGAAUGGGCAUCUUAUUGAUUAUUUUGUUCCAAAGAGAGGACUCUGCCAAGGAGUCACCCUACUUGUUUGUCUCGUAUUGUUUGAACAGGUUAUCACAUUUUCUUCUCUCCUAAAGUUCCCGAGGCUCUAAGGAGGAAACUUAGCUUGCUGAAUGGCACGAAGAUUGCAGAGGAGAUUGGCCAUGUAAAGGGGCAGUCAACCUAUUCCUUGCAGUACCUUCAACAAUGAUGGUUCAAUCUUUGCUUACUCGGUCUGCUAUGACUGGAGUAAAGGGGCUGAAAAUCAUAAUCCUGCGACAGCAAAGACUUAAAUCUUCCUGCAUUUGCCACAGGUAU
Neltuma alba is the source of this 606-nucleotide long non-coding RNA. RefSeq lists it as uncharacterized. NCBI's taxonomy places the organism in Eukaryota, Viridiplantae, Streptophyta, Magnoliopsida, Fabales, Fabaceae. The record is from RefSeq and is a predicted model, not a curated record. The transcript is spliced from 3 exons.